CCCUUAGAUGUUCUGGGCCGCACGCGCGCUACACUGAUGCAUUCAACGAGUCUAAAACCUGCUCUGAUAGGGGUGGGUAAUCUUUUGAAUGUGCAUCGUGAUUGGGAUAGAUGAUUGCAAUUUUUCAUCUUCAACGAGGAAUGCCUAGUAAACGCAAGUCAUCAGCUUGCAUUGAUUACGUCCCUGCCCUUUGUACACACCGCCCGUCGCUCCUACCGAUUGAAUGAUCCGAUGAAUAUCAUAGAUUGAGGAUGCAAGUAGGUUCGCCUAUCUUCAUCUUCGAGAAGUGAAGUAAAUCUUAUCAUUUAGAGGAAGGAGAAGUCGUAACA
RNAcentral lists this ribosomal RNA (329 nucleotides) under uncultured eukaryote. RNAcentral describes it as "partial 18S ribosomal RNA". It matches the Rfam family "Eukaryotic small subunit ribosomal RNA", at positions 1470 to 1796 of the family's 1831-position model. The record is from RNAcentral.